GGACGCUGAGCGAUUGGUGGUUACCCGAUCAGUAGCCGCUGAUUGAAUGACUAGGUGUCAUAAAGGGUUACAAAACCACCAAGAGUGGGGAGUGAAGCAGGAGUCCAGUAUCACCGAAUUUUUCUUUAAUAUUUUCCUCUAAGCUUCACAGCUGGUAGCUCCACUGUCUUUGGAUCCUUUGUUUACGAUAUCUUACUCAAGUAACGCUCCAGAAGAAGCACCGUGGCAAAGGUCUGAAUGCGCUGCCUGGAGCGUUACCUGUCGUCUGGGCGAGAGAGGACUCCAACAGAAGCGUCCCCCUUGUGUCCACGGCGGGAUGUGCUGUGCUACAACUGCUUAACCAGUGUCAAAGAGGCAGAUCAAGGCCAGAGUCCUAUACUGAUGACGAGAAGAUUCCCCCACACGUCACUCAGAGUUCAGUGCUCAUGGAUGAAUACAAGGGCUCUUCAAGUCUGUGCUCACCUAAAGCCAAGCCCCACACGGACACACUACGGAUGGGUACGAGCGCUGGGAAAUGUUGGGUUCUGCUCCAGGACGCUUGUUGGGGUGGGAGGCUGAACCAGGCCCAUCCAAGACUAGUUUUUCUAAGUCUGCUUCACAUUUUUUUCUAGAAAAUUAGAAUGUCACUGUGCCUCACUGAAUUUUUGAAUCUCACUAAGACUUAGUUUCCUCAACUCAAAUGGGGUGGUAGUGAGGGUGAACAGCUGUCUUGGUUUACCUGGGAAAUUAGUCAGUAUGGGUGAGGACUUUGAACAUAUAUUUCCUCUUCCUUAUUCCCCAUUAAAAACAAAACAAAAUGAAAUAUUGAUUUUCUUAUGAAAGAAAGAAAGCAUAAUCCACUUUAAUUUACGAACAUACCUUUAUUGACCAACUACUAUGGGCCAGGCUCCACUUUUGGCUCUGAGGAUAUAUCAGUGAACAAAGCAGACAGAAAUCCCCAUCCUCCGUUUAUAUUCAAGGGGGAGGAGAGAGAGACAGCAUGUGAAUAGUUAGUGUGCUGGGAUCUGGCAACCACUCUGCAGGGAGAACGCCGAGGAGAGCAAUGCAAUCAGGUGUGCCGGGCAGCGGGAAGCCUGCGGCUUUCCAUUGUCCGAAGAGUGGUGCGACCAGGGUGGACUUCCUGGAGAAGGUGACAUCUGGAGAAAAAUUGAAGGAGAGGAAGCAGGAGCCAGGUGUGUUUUGGGGGUAUGUUCCACCCCCAGGGGAGCAGCAAGGGCAACUCUGAGGCAGGAACAAGGGUGUCGUGUGGAGAAGAGGUAAGAUGGCCGAUGGAGCAAGGAGCGGUCCUGUCAGGGAGGCAUGGGAGCCCGGCUGGUCUGUGGUAAGGUCACGGGCUGUUAUAGAGAGGGUUGGAGGCUUGGGCAGGAGUGGCAAAGGCUUCCAGAAACUUCUCAGCUCCGCAGAAGGAAAGCCAGAGUCCUUACAAUGGACUCCUAACUUCCAUCACAGAUAUCUGAACUCUUAACCAACUCCCAGCUCACAGGUGACCCUCCUUUCCCACCUUCUUCAUCCCAGAUAUCAAAGGAC
RNAcentral lists this long non-coding RNA (1527 nucleotides) under Chinchilla lanigera (long-tailed chinchilla). RNAcentral's name for it is "lncRNA (ENSCLAG00000027373.1)". Lineage: Eukaryota; Metazoa; Chordata; Mammalia; Rodentia; Chinchillidae. The record is from RNAcentral.